AAGUCGUAACAAGGUUUCCGUAGGUGAACCUGCGGAAGGAUCAUUAACUAAAUUUCAACGUCUGUUUCGUUUGAAAUCCACUCUGCGUACCUUUACCUGUUGCUUCCCCCCGUGCCAGCCGCCCGGGGGGGAGGAAACCCGCAAACCCUUUGCUUUCCAUGGUGUCGGUCUGAACAAAGAAUUUGAUAUUAAAACGUCAAAAAUUCAAAAAACUUUCAACAACGGAUCUCUUGGUUCUCCCAUCGAUGAAGAACGCAGCGAAAUGCGAUAAGUAGUGUGAAUUGCAGAAUUCAGUGAAUCAUCGAAUCUUUGAACGCACAUUGCGCCCCCUGGCACUCCGGGGGGCAUGCCUGUUCGAGCGUCAUCAAUAGCCCCUCGGGUCGUGGCUCCCCAGCCGGAACCAUGGCCCGGUCUUGGGCGUGAGGGACCGUAGUCGGCCCCCUCGGCCCGCAAUCCAUCGGCGGACGUCCUGCGGGGCAAGAGCGUGAUGAAGCGUUCAAACGCGAUUGUCAGCCGGUAUGUCCAGCCACAAACCCCCCCACUCCGGAGUGCUAGCACUCCUCCGUUUGACCUCGGAUCAGGUAGGGAUACCCGCUGAACUUAAGCAUAUCAAUAAGCGGAGGAAAAGAAACCAACAGGGAUUGCCUUAGUAACUGCGAGUGAAGCGGCAAAAGCUCAAAUUUGAAAUCUGUGUCCUUCGGGACACCGAGUUGUAAUUUCGAGAUGCGUUUUCGUCCGACAGGCCUGCCUUAAGUCCCUUGGAACAGGGCGUCACAGAGGGUGAGAAUCCCGUGAACGGUAGGCCUCGAGGCGCGUGAUACGUAUUCAACGAGUCGAGUUGUUUGGGAAUGCAGCUCAAAAUGGGUGGUAAAUUUCAUCUAAAGCUAAAUAUUGGGGAGAGACCGAUAGCGCACAAGUAGAGUGAUCGAAAGAUGAAAAGCACUUUGAAAAGAGAGUUAAAAAGUACGUGAAAUUGUUGAAAGGGAAGCGCUUGAGGCCAGACUCGAUCGCUGUUGAUCAACCUUAGUUCUCUGGGGUGCAAUCGGCAGCUUUCGGGACAGCAUCGGUUCUCACGGAGGGACAAAGCCUCGGGAAAUGUGGCACCCUUCGGGGUGUGUUAUAGUCCUCCGGGUAAUGCCUCCAGCGGGGACCGAGGACCGCGCUUCGGCUAGGAUGCUGUCGUAAUGGCCUUCAGCGACC
RNAcentral lists this ribosomal RNA (1200 nucleotides) under uncultured fungus. RNAcentral describes it as "eukaryotic LSU rRNA". The stretch from base 568 to 1200 matches the Rfam family "Eukaryotic large subunit ribosomal RNA", at positions 1 to 649 of the family's 3401-position model. The record is from RNAcentral. Lineage: Eukaryota; Fungi.